This 587-nucleotide ribosomal RNA is filed under the name Aureobasidium melanogenum. RNAcentral's name for it is "eukaryotic LSU rRNA". It matches the Rfam family "Eukaryotic large subunit ribosomal RNA", at positions 50 to 652 of the family's 3401-position model. Lineage: Eukaryota; Fungi; Ascomycota; Dothideomycetes; Dothideales; Saccotheciaceae. The record is from RNAcentral.
GCGGAGGAAAAGAAACCAACAGGGAUUGCCCUAGUAACGGCGAGUGAAGCGGCAACAGCUCAAAUUUGAAAGCUGGCCUUCGGGUCCGCAUUGUAAUUUGUAGAGGAUGCUUUGGGUGAAACGCCAGUCUAAGUUCCUUGGAACAGGACGUCAUAGAGGGUGAGAAUCCCGUAUGUGACUGGAAAUGUUAACCUAUGUAAAGCUCCUUCGACGAGUCGAGUUGUUUGGGAAUGCAGCUCUAAAUGGGAGGUAAAUUUCUUCUAAAGCUAAAUAUUGGCGAGAGACCGAUAGCGCACRAGUAGAGUGAUCGAAAGAUGAAAAGCACUUUGGAAAGAGAGUUAAAAAGCACGUGAAAUUGUUGAAAGGGAAGCGCUUGCAAUCAGACUUGUUUAAACUGUUCGGCCGGUCUUCUGACCGGUUUACUCAGUUUGGACAGGCCAGCAUCAGUUUCGGCGGCCGGAUAAAGGCUCUGGGAAUGUGGCCUUCACUUCGGUGAAGGUGUUAUAGCCCAGGGUGUAAUACGGCCAGCCGGGACUGAGGUCCGCGCUUCGGCUAGGAUGCUGGCGUAAUGGUUGUAAGCGACCCGU